RNAcentral lists this ribosomal RNA (481 nucleotides) under uncultured actinomycete. RNAcentral's name for it is "bacterial SSU rRNA". It matches the Rfam family "Bacterial small subunit ribosomal RNA", at positions 237 to 733 of the family's 1533-position model. Lineage: Bacteria; Bacillati; Actinomycetota; Actinomycetes; Actinomycetales. The record is from RNAcentral.
CCUAUCAGCUUGUUGGUGGGGUAAUGGCCUACCAAGGCGACGACGGGUAGCCGGCCUGAGAGGGUGACCGGCCACACUGGGACUGAGACACGGCCCAGACUCCUACGGGAGGCAGCAGUGGGGAAUAUUGCGCAAUGGGCGGAAGCCUGACGCAGCGACGCCGCGUGGGGGAUGACGGCCUUCGGGUUGUAAACCUCUUUCAGCAGGGACGAAGCGCAAGUGACGGUACCUGCAGAAGAAGCACCGGCCAACUACGUGCCAGCAGCCGCGGUAAUACGUAGGGUGCGAGCGUUGUCCGGAAUUAUUGGGCGUAAAGAGCUCGUAGGCGGUGUGUCGCGUCGGCUGUGAAAACUUGGGGCUUAACCCUGAGCUGCGGUCGAUACGGGCAUACUUGAGUUCGGCAGGGGAGACUGGAAUUCCUGGUGUACGGUGAAAUGCGCAAUAUCAGGAGGAACACCGGUGGCGAAGGCGGGUCUCUGGG